Gymnogyps californianus (California condor) is the source of this 588-nucleotide long non-coding RNA. RefSeq lists it as uncharacterized. The record is from RefSeq and is a predicted model, not a curated record. NCBI's taxonomy places the organism in Eukaryota, Metazoa, Chordata, Aves, Accipitriformes, Cathartidae. The transcript is spliced from 4 exons.
CACUACUCAAUGAAAAUCCAAGCUUCAAAAUAACUACCCGAUGUUUGGAAGAGAGUGGCCAAAGAAAGAGCAAGGCUGAGGGUAGCAAAAAGCUGAGUGGAUGCUUGAUGACAACUUGGGGACAGGCUGACUUGGCAGCGUCCUGGCUCCCACCCUUGCCAGUGAACAGAACUGGAGGCUCAGUGCUGCAGAGGGUCUAGUCCCACCACCUCAUCCAGCUACAGUGAACCACUGGUACUGCUCUCUGAGGACAGAGUAUCUUCUGCACUCUAGGUGGAAUCCUGUACCGCGUCCUCACCAGGCUGCCUUUACACAAACCCGAGGCACGAACGUGCUGACUGGACAUGCUCUCGCGUCACCCUGCCAGCCUCGACCUACUAAACAAGGCCUGGGACCUUGGGAGCUCAGCACCACGCUAGCGGUUUUAAUUGCUUUCAACCAGGACUUGAAACGCAGCCAGAAAACGCACCAACUCUGAAAGUCGCUGUCUCAGCAGGGCUGUAUUAAAAAGGAGAUUUAAUGAGGGGAACAUGGAUGGAAAGCCGCCGGAGAACCGCCGCCAGAGCGCUGGUCGUUUUUAGCCCUUUU